AGAACACUCAGGUUUCACUUCUGAGCCCCAGCUGUGGUAUCUACUGGCCUGGACUUGAGCUAGUCACUUUAUUUUCUGAGCUUCAGUUUGCUCACUGGACGAGUAGGAAAGUCAUUCCUGUCUGGCUUAACUAGAGGGCCUGUGGUGAGGCAUAAACUGGAGAAGAAAAUCAAACCAUCUGGUGAACUGUCAAGCUCAAUUUCCCUCUUUAAGGAAGAAAGGAAAGUGUUUUCCUGGAUACUAGAUAUGCUGAGUUGGGACAGGAGCUAAGGAUAGAGGUGAGGAAACCCGCAGACAACAGCGACAUGCUCCUCAUCUUUGAGUCCCAGCGAACCUUUCCACUGUGUGUGUGUGCUGGAAUGCAGUUAACUGAUCACCUGCAGGCUUGAACU
This 392-nucleotide long non-coding RNA is filed under the name Homo sapiens (human). RNAcentral's name for it is "HSALNT0389483". Lineage: Eukaryota; Metazoa; Chordata; Mammalia; Primates; Hominidae. The record is from RNAcentral.